Long non-coding RNA from Pongo pygmaeus (Bornean orangutan), 6989 nucleotides. RefSeq lists it as uncharacterized. The transcript has 10 exons. NCBI's taxonomy places the organism in Eukaryota, Metazoa, Chordata, Mammalia, Primates, Hominidae. The record is from RefSeq and is a predicted model, not a curated record.
CCAGCCUGGGCGACAGAGGGAGACCCUGUCUCAAAAAACAAAAAAUCGGCCAAGCGCGGAGGUUCACCCCUCUAAUCCCAGCACUCUGGGAGGCUGAGGUGGAUGGAUCACCUGAGGUCAGGAAUUCGAGACCAGUCUGGCCAACAUGGCAAAACCCCCGUCUCUACUAAAAAUACAAAAAUUAGCUAGACGUGGUGGCACGCGCUUGUAGUCCCAGCUGCUCGGGAGGCUGAGGUGGGAGAAUCACUUAAACCCGGGAGGCAGAGAUUGCAGUGGGCCGAGAUUGCGCCACUUCACUGCACCCUGCGCAAAAGAGCAAAACUCCGUCUCAGAAAGUUAGGAGCCGCUUCAAUGUACAGUGGGUGACCCAGAUUGGCUGCUGAGGUCCUGCCCCCUAAGGUCCUAUCUCAAAAGCUGAAGAUUUUGAAAAAUCCCAGGACAUCUGAGAUGCCAUUCCUGCCUGGUCCCCAUGGCCUCGACCACACUAGCCAGGUUCCAUCUCAGGGUUUCAUCAGCUCAGAUGAGGCGGGGUGGGAGGCCUCCGUGGUGUCUCUUUCUCCCACCACUUAGUGUUGCCUGAGUUUCCACGGCUCCAGGAUACUAGCCCUGAGGGAUGGAUGUUCUCAGAGAAGCUCCUGUCCCCAGCCCUGCCCUGAGCUACAGGUUCUGAUGGGCCUGGAGGCCAUCCUGCCUGAGAUUCUACCCUUAGAGCUUCAUUCUUUUGUGGCUUUCACACCUUUCAGACACUUGGAGAAAGAUCUGCCCCCAGGUGAGGUUUGGGUAACUCCUCCACUCCCAUCCCCACCUCAGAGGAGGCUUGCUCCACCUCCACUGCCCCUCAGGCCCAAGCUCCUGUCUCGGUCCUCAGCCUCUGUGGAGUUGAGGUCUGCAGCAUAUCUCAAGGGCACCAGGGAGGUGCCACUGCCCUGCAUCCUCCCAAACCCCACAGCUCCUCUCACCCCUUUUGGUCUCCCUUUUGCCCCCCACCUCCACUUCCCCCAAGCUUAGGGCUCAGCUCACUGCCCGCCAGUCCCAGCUGCUCUGAUGCCCUCCUUGUUCUAUUGUCCUUACCGUCUCCUCUGUCUGCCUCAUCUGACUUUGCCUUCUCUGGAGGCAGUUAAUUCACCUCUGAGCCUUGGCCCCAGGGUCACCUCCCUGGAAAGCCUUCCUGAGGCUGCCCUGGCCUGCCCCCCUGCUCAGGACAAUCUGGCCUGCAUGUGCACUCCAUUCUGUGGACGAUGAGCCCCUCCCAGACCAAGCUGGGCACAGCUCAGCUUCUCACUAAGGGCAGGGGGCUGCCAUGGAAAACCUGUCACUUCUGACUGGCAAGACAGAGCGCCCAGGUGCUCCAACAGGGCCCCCGAGCGGGACUGGAGGCAGUCAGAGAAGGACCUGUGGGAGCAGCUGGCAGAAAGCAGGCGGCAGAGGGCCGAGCUGACAAGCCGUCUUUGGGCAGUGCUGGAGGCCCUGUAGGAGCAAGCCCUGGUGCUGCAGAGGCAGGAGCACAAGCUGGGACUCGGCUGGUCCCUAAAGCAGAAAGUGAAGCCAUGUCCUCCCCCAUUCCUUCUUCCUGGGCUUUCUGUAGCUGAAAGGAGGUCCCCUGAGCUAGCAAGAUCCCCUUAGCAGGCUGAAGCUCCAGAAUGCCCAGAGCUGGUGUCCAGAUCUGGUGCCAUAUUCUCAGGGAGGCUUGCCAGGGUCUGGGGCACCCAGAGGAGAAAGGGAAAUGGAGUCCCCAGCAAGGCUGCGGUGUUGAACAGAGAUGUCUCUGAAUGGUGCCCCUGGAAGGGUGCAGGGUGUUGCCUGAGAGGCAUAUGCUGGGGGUGGCUAAGGACACUGCUGGAGACGAAGGAAGGGCCAAGGUCCCUGUGGCCCCCCAGGGAGAAUCUGAGGGAGGGAGGGGCUGGUUUUAGCUCCAUAGACUGAAGAGCUUCCUUAGAAGCCCAAUCUCCCCGAGUGAAACAGGCGAUCCCCAGAGAGGGGGAGAUGGCUGUGCAGGCUGAGGGUUCUUGGGAAGGUUACCAGGAUCUCUGCCUCACGUGAGGGUAGGAAGGGGACACCGUGUGAUGGCCCAGUUAUGCAAGCCUUCAGUGACUCCGUGUCUUAGCUCACAGCUGGCCCACCUGGAGCCACUGCUCCCUACCAGGCCUGGGGGACCCUUGGGAUCCAGUUGUCAACCUCAUGUCUCCCUGCCCUUUAGCAUGCCACAGCAGUCCUGCUGGCCUCCACCCUGAAGCUGUCAGCAGCUGGAGAGCAGCUGGAGAGGCGGUGUAUCUCAGGCCCAGCUGGAGGCAGAGGAUGCACAGCUGGAGCCUGUCGUGAUAGAUAACAGCAGAAAACAGCCCCUCAGGGCCCCAGGGCACAGUCCCUUGUAUAAAAGCCAGGGCAUGGGUCCAUGCUGGGCUGUCAGCUGGGCUGCUGGCUGCCAGUCCGCCUGCGUUAUCAAAGGCUGCAGACACUGCCCUGCCUGGUGGGAGGCAGGGAAGCUAUGCCUACCUAUCUGAGGCUCUGUGCUGCCUUCAGCCCUCCCACUCAGCCUCAUCCUAGCAGGUGAAGUGCUCCCUGGCCUGCCUGGAGCAGGAGAGGCACCAGAUGCAGGGAUCCCAGGGACAGGCUGAGUGGAGGAGGCCAGACCAGGACAUAGAAGACAAGUGAGUGGGGCUGGGAUGUGGGGGAGGGGUGGGGUGGCAGGGAACAGGCAGACCAUCCCUUCUACCCUCAGGAUCCUGCGGCUGCAGACAGAAGUGGAAAAGGCCUAGUGGCAUUUGGACCAGAUGACCCAACAGCCUGUUGGCCCAGAGCCCAGCCCGGGGAUCCCCCAAGUGGGUGCAUGGCAGGCCCUGAGCACUGGCCCCGCCGUACCUUUGACCCUGCCCCACACUUUAUUGUCUGGUCCUCAUUAUUGGAGCAUUAUCUAGAGAAGGAGGGCAGCGCAGGGGCUUAGUCCAGCCAAGAGAGGGAUCCUCUUCCAACAUUUGGGAAUACCCUGGGAUCAUUCAGUGACUUCCCUCCUGGUUCAGAUGGGAAAACUGAGACCAGAGGGCAGAGGAGAGCUUGUUCAGAGUCAUAACUUGAGUUGGGGCCAGGACCCUGCCACAACAUGCCCUGAGGCAUCAACGGUCUGCCAAGACCACCCCAGUGUGGUCUGGAAGCUGGAAGGAGACUCCAGGAUUCUGGACCAAGUGUAUCUACAGGAGAUGCUGGUGCCAGGCCUGCAGAUCCAAGAGCAAAGCUGGGAUGGAGGCAGGGCCCAGGAGCUUCGGGACCCAGAGUCUCCAUGCCAGCAGCUGAGACCCCUGCCCAGGCUCAGGACACAGUCCGUCUGCAGGGGCAGUUGCUGAUACUCACUGAGGUGAACAAGAGACUCAGAAGAGCUGGGCCAGAGCCACCAGCAACUAGGGGCCUGCUUGGAGCAGCUGCAGCAUCUGCAGGGAGAGCAGACGGUGUUGGGGGGCCGUGUGCAGGCCCUGGAGGCAGAGCAUACCUGGCUACUUCAGGAGAAGGUGGGGCUGCUAGCAGCACUGGGUGUGGCCCCGGGCCAAGAGUCCUGGUAGGUGGCUGCUUAGGCCCAUCCUCGGAGUGUCCAAGCCAGGCUGGGGUGGGUGCUCUGUUCUCACCGUGGGUGAGAUGGCCCUCUCAGCAGGCGGUGGGCCAGUCUCUGUCACCAGCUGGCUGAGGGGGAAUGGCCCAGAGCCCUAAACCCGGAAUCACACGACCAGAGCCAGUCUCCCUUCCCCAGUACACUCCAGGUCCUGGAGGUACCAGUGCCCCUCAGGAAAGAGCUAGAGGCACAAGAAUCACAUCCCAGGCUUCAUGAGGAGAUGGCUGAGUACUGGAAGGCAUGCUGGCACCAGGUGGCAGUUGCUCUGAAAUUUAAAGAGGAGGAACUGCACAGACUCCAGAGGCAGAGUGGGACCUGGCCUCCCCAGGACCCUCACACAGCUGCAGAGAGGCCAGAGUGCACGCAGGAGGAGCUGCCGUGAGUCUGGGCGGGCACCGUCCAGUGAGCCCGCAGGCCCCUAGUCCACAUGCCAGCCAGGGAGGGCAGGCCAGGGCCCAGGAGGAGAUCCGCUCCCCUCUGCAGGCUGGACCUGCCCAAACCCAAGAGCCAGGGUGAGGGUUUCUGCAGGCAUGAGAGGAUGGGGGAGCAGGGUCCCUAGAUGGGGAUGCAGCCUGCCCCUCCCCAGUCAGCCACAGGAGCAGGAUGCAGGCUCUGGAGAGGGAGAAUGACCAGAUGGCUGCUGGGAUCCAGAGGCGAAAGGUGGGCAGGAGCUGGGCUGCCUGGGGUGGUGUGAGGUGGCCCCACCUGCAGUCAGGGCCCCCAAGGAACCCCUCCUAAGGACCCUAGAGCCCUCCCCAAGCCUGAAGUCAGGGGCCUUGUGCAAUAAAGUGGAGGCCCGGGCUGUGCCACAGCCACAGCUCUUCUCAUGGGGCCUCAGCUUCCUGUGUGUUUAAUGGGUCCCAAGCUCCCCACCCUGGCCCUUAGUACCGGGGAGCUCAGGCCCAGGGGUGUGGGGCCUCCAGGGCUACUAUGGCCCAUCUGUCCAUGAACAGAAAGGGCCUUGCCCUCCAGCUUGAGCUGGGUGCCUGUGGACAGGAGCAGGACUUUGGCUGCCACUGGCACCAGAACCCUCAGCACCAGCUGCUAGGGGUGAGGGUCAGGUGCCCCCAGGUCAAGGUGGCCUGAGCCUGCCCACCCAAGGACAGGGACAUAAGAAUCUGGACAAUCCUGCCAGCCUGAAGGGAGGGCAGCCACCCUGGAGCAGCCCAAGUGCUCCUGAGUCCUUGCCACCUGCCCUCUACCCCAGCAGAGACCCCAGAGUCUGCAAAUGAAAGGAGCUAUGGGAGCCCAGGUCUGCCAAGGAGCUGGAGUCUGCAGUGCGGACUCCACCAGAGGACAAUGGCACUGCACCUGAUGCUGCCAUGGUGGCCUCUUUGGGGCGAAGAACGGUCCCUAGGAAGGCCCCUGUGAGGCUGGAGCUCUGAAUCCAAGGGGGAGCGAAGUUCUUGGGGAGGCUCCAGAUCAAGACACGCGCCAGCUCCACCCUCCUCCACAGACUGCAAAGAAGCAGGAGGGAGGGGGAGCUGCUGCAGGUCUGAGCACCAAGGGCUCCAGCACCAGGACAGGAGCCUCCAGCCACCUCCACCUUGCAGCCCCUGAAGAUCCCAGCCAUGGCCCUGGAGCCCAAAGAAGGGCAUCUGAGAAAAGUUGGAAGCCGGGGCAGUGCCCAGGCAGUGUAGAGACUGUGCCCAGAGCCAGCAGGAGGCAGAUUCACAGCCUCACUCUGCAGCACAAGAGAUUGCGGUCAGGCCCUGCACCCCCGCCCAGUGAGCUGAAGGGUCCUGGCAUAGAGAAGCUGAAUUGAGAGGCCUCAGUGAGUUGGGCACGGUGGCUCACACCUGCAAUCCCAGCACUUUAGGAGGCUGAGGCAGGUGGAUCACUUGAGGCCAGGAGUUCAAGAACAGGCUGGUUAACAUGGGGAAAUUCUGUUCCACUAAAAAAUACAAAAUUAGCUGGGCAUGGUGGCACAUGCCUGUAAUCUCAACUACUCAGGAGGCUGAGGCAGGAGAAUCGCUUGAACCCAGGAGGUGGAGGUUGCAGUGAGCCGAGAUCGCACCACUGCACUCCAGCCUGGGCGGGAGUGAGACUCUGUCUCAAAAAAAAAAAAAAAAAAAAGAGAGGUCUUAGGCAACCGCGGCUGGGCAAGGACUUGGGAAGAGGGGAGGCCCCUUUGGCUGUGCCUUCUGCCCCCAAGGCCAGGGUUUCUAUGAGGCCUGAAGCCUGGAGCCUGUCAUAGGCAGCUGCAGUCAGAGGCCUCCCUGGCAGAAACCACUCCUUGUUCCCUCCCUGACACAGGCCUGAAAUGCCCAUGUUGGCACAAUGUUGCCAAUAUGGCUCUUGGUGGAUGAGACCACCUGGCACUUUCCCAGGGGACCCUGUGGCUAAGAGUAGAGCUGGGCAGGCAGUGCCCAGCACCAUAGGGGGUGCUGCGGGCCUGUAGGCUUGGUUGGCCCAAUUACUGCCCAAAUGCCAUCGGACAGUGCCCACCAGGGACCCUCUGUCUUGCCAAGGAAGGCCUUAGGCACUGGGCUUUAGACAUUUCAAAGUGAGUUCUCAUUCACUUGUGUCUCCGAUCACACUAGAGUCCCCAUUUCACAAACUGCCCAGAGAGUUUGUCAUAGGUCACACAGCAAACCAGCAACUAAGCCCCUGGUCCCCUAAUCUGCCCCAGAAAGGUAGUUUCUCAGCUGUUCUGAGCUUGACAGCAUGACCAUCCUCAGGAGCCACAGGCAAAGUGGGCUGAGGCUUGGCAUUCCCCUCGAGGUCAUCUGGCCAUUCUGAACGCCCCUCCUCAGCCUGCUUCCUCAGCCUGCUUCCUCCGGCUGAGCCAUGUGCCCCCGGAACCCCUCUCAACUCUGUUGCUGACCCCACCCUCCAUCUGCGCCUUCAGUGAAGCAGUUUCUCAAAGGAGGGGUCCCUGGUACCGUGGAGGGACAGAACACCUUUGGGAAUUCAUACCCAGCUGCGUUCGUGCUGAGUUCUUCAUGACCCACUCCUUCCAGCCUCAGCUGGUGGAUCCAGGGCUGGGUACUGAGCCGUACUGGACCAGUGGGCCCCCUCCCGGGAUCGCUGGACUUGGAGCAGAAGAGUCCCUUCAGGGCUGAAGAUUGGACACAGAAAACUUGGGAACUGUCAACUGCCCUGUUAUUCACCUCGUGAAAAAAGCUGGAUUUCAAUGAGAGCGAAAGGAGCUGACAAUUCCCAGAAACUGGAAUUGGGAUGGUGAGAUUUUAGUUCAGCCCCCGGCGGUCUCAUGCGUGGAGGUGAUAAAGUUGAGCUUUGAGGUGGUCUUCAGAGGGAGAGGAAUACCCUCCGCGGGCAGAGCUUCCCGGGUUCCGGGCCCUUCCGGACGUCAACACAGGUCCAAAUGCCCUUGGGCUCCUCCGCACACCCUGGAUGCAAGAAUAAAUCCUUCUCCUCUCUGCCGCCA